UUUCCGUAGGUGAACCUGCGGAAGGAUCAUUACCACACCUUUUUUUAUCUUGAUUGUCUACGAUUUCAUCAUUGUUGGCUUUCAAAUAUAAGGGAUGAAAGGGGAAAGGCCAAGGUCAAACUCCCUUCCUUUUUCUUCCUUGUAUUGUCCCGCGUAAAAAAAAAGGAGAAUCUUCAACGAUUCUCUUUCGAGAUUUCAAAAGCCUUUGGCUUUUUUUAUCUCGGGAAUAAGAGCCGAUUCUUUCGUGUUUCUCUUUAUUCUUUUCUUGUUUUUCACGUUGUCUUGAAAAAAGAAAUCUUUGAUUUUUUCCUUUUCUUACGAAAGAAAAAAAAAAAUAUGACCUUGAUAAAUAUUAUACCACAAUGAAGAAAAAAAGGAAAAAAAAGGGCUUAGAGAAGGUCUAGCAUCUUUUCUUUCUUUUUCCAUUUUUUUUUUCCAUCGAGUUUUAAGAAAUGAAAACCAAACACUUUCAGCAACGGAUGUCUUGGUUCCC
RNAcentral lists this unclassified non-coding RNA (493 nucleotides) under plant metagenome. RNAcentral's name for it is "partial contains small subunit ribosomal RNA, internal transcribed spacer 1, and 5.8S ribosomal RNA". The record is from RNAcentral.